Molecule: ribosomal RNA, 586 nt
Filed under: bacterium enrichment culture clone 4-2
Lineage: Bacteria
Description: bacterial SSU rRNA
Rfam family: Bacterial small subunit ribosomal RNA
Source: RNAcentral
UCUACGGGAGGCAGCAGUGGGGAAUUUUGGACAAUGGGGGAAACCCUGAUCCAGCCAUCCCGCGUGUGCGAUGAAGGCCUUCGGGUUGUAAAGCACUUUUGGCAGGAAAGAAACGUCGUGGGUUAAUACCCCGCGAAACUGACGGUACCUGCAGAAUAAGCACCGGCUAACUACGUGCCAGCAGCCGCGGUAAUACGUAGGGUGCAAGCGUUAAUCGGAAUUACUGGGCGUAAAGCGUGCGCAGGCGGUUCGGAAAGAAAGAUGUGAAAUCCCAGAGCUUAACUUUGGAACUGCAUUUUUAACUACCGGGCUAGAGUGUGUCAGAGGGAGGUGGAAUUCCGCGUGUAGCAGUGAAAUGCGUAGAUAUGCGGAGGAACACCGAUGGCGAAGGCAGCCUCCUGGGAUAACACUGACGCUCACGCACGAAAGCGUGGGGAGCAAACAGGAUUAGAUACCCUGGUAGUCCACGCCCUAAACGAUGUCAACUAGCUGUUGGGGCCUUCGGGCCUUGGUAGCGCAGCUAACGCGUGAAGUUGACCGCCUGGGGAGUACGGUCGCAAGAUUAAAACUCAAAGGAAUUGACGGA